RNAcentral lists this ribosomal RNA (478 nucleotides) under uncultured bacterium. Its description in RNAcentral is "partial 16S ribosomal RNA". It matches the Rfam family "Bacterial small subunit ribosomal RNA", at positions 28 to 523 of the family's 1533-position model. The record is from RNAcentral.
GACGAACGCUGGCGGCGUGCUAAACACAUGCAAGUCGAACGGUAAGGCCCUUCGGGGUACACGAGUGGCGAACGGGUGAGUAACACGUGGGUGAUCUGCCCUGCACUUCGGGAUAAGCCUUGGAAACUGGGUCUAAUACCGGAUAUGACUCCUGGCUUCAUGGUUGGGGGUGGAAAGCUUUUGCGGGUUGGGAUGGGCCCGCGGCCUAUCGGCUUGUUGGUGGGGGAAUGGCCUACCAAGGCGACGACGGGGAGCCGGCCUGAGAGGGUGACCGGUCACACUGGGGCUGAGAUACGGCCCAGACUCCUACAGGAGUAAGCAGUGGGGAAUAUUGCCCAAUGGGCGCAAGCCUGAUGCAGCGACGCCGCGUGAGGGAUGACGGCCUUCGGGUUGUAAACCUCUUUCAGCUAUGACGAAGCGCAAGUGACGGUAGUAGCAGAAGAAGGACCGGCCAACUACGUGCCAGCAGCCGCCGUAA